This 43-nucleotide ribosomal RNA is filed under the name Chaetopsina pinicola. RNAcentral's name for it is "partial 28S ribosomal RNA". The record is from RNAcentral. Lineage: Eukaryota; Fungi; Ascomycota; Sordariomycetes; Hypocreales; Nectriaceae.
UUGACCUCGAAUCAGGUAGGAGUACCCGCUGAACUUAAGCAUA